UACAGAGGUCUCAAGCGUUGUUCGGAUUCAUUGGGCGUAAAGGGUGCGUAGGUGGCGCGAUAAGUCGGGUGUGAAAUCUCGGAGCUUAACUCCGAAAUUGCAUUCGAUACUGCCGUGCUCGAGGACUGGAGAGGAGACUGGAAUUCAUGGUGUAGCAGUGAAAUGCGUAGAUAUCUGGAGGAACACCGGUGGCGAAGGCGGCAUCCUGGACCGGUAUUGACGCUGAGGCGCGAAAGCCAGGGGAGCAAACGGG
Molecule: ribosomal RNA, 253 nt
Filed under: uncultured bacterium
Lineage: Bacteria
Description: partial 16S ribosomal RNA
Rfam family: Bacterial small subunit ribosomal RNA
Source: RNAcentral